UCCUCAGGGCUGCUCCCAGGACCUUUAUGAAACACAAGCAAAUUGUGCCCGACUGCUCUCUGCAUGAACACAAGCAGCAGCUAUGGCUGAGACCUUAAGUUGCAAAUGAUCAGAGUUCACAGGAAGAAGAGCUCUCUCUUCAAG
This is a long non-coding RNA of Nothoprocta perdicaria, 144 nucleotides long. RefSeq lists it as uncharacterized. NCBI's taxonomy places the organism in Eukaryota, Metazoa, Chordata, Aves, Tinamiformes, Tinamidae. The record is from RefSeq and is a predicted model, not a curated record. The transcript is spliced from 2 exons.